Molecule: ribosomal RNA, 583 nt
Filed under: uncultured Rhodobacter sp.
Lineage: Bacteria; Pseudomonadati; Pseudomonadota; Alphaproteobacteria; Rhodobacterales
Description: bacterial SSU rRNA
Rfam family: Bacterial small subunit ribosomal RNA
Source: RNAcentral
CCUACGGGAGGCAGCAGUGGGGAAUCUUAGACAAUGGGCGCAAGCCUGAUCUAGCCAUGCCGCGUGGACGAUGAAGGCCUUAGGGUUGUAAAGUCCUUUCAGAUGGGAAGAUAAUGACGGUACCAUCAGAAGAAGCCCCGGCUAACUCCGUGCCAGCAGCCGCGGUAAUACGGAGGGGGCUAGCGUUGUUCGGAAUUACUGGGCGUAAAGCGCACGUAGGCGGAUUGGUAAGUUAGAGGUGAAAUCCCAGGGCUCAACCCUGGAACUGCCUUUAAUACUGCUAGUCUUGAGUUCGAGAGAGGUGAGUGGAAUUCCGAGUGUAGAGGUGAAAUUCGUAGAUAUUCGGAGGAACACCAGUGGCGAAGGCGGCUCACUGGCUCGAUACUGACGCUGAGGUGCGAAAGCAUGGGGAGCAAACAGGAUUAGAUACCCUGGUAGUCCAUGCCGUAAACGAUGAAUGCCAGACGUCAGCAAGCAUGCUUGUUGGUGUCACACCUAACGGAUUAAGCAUUCCGCCUGGGGAGUACGGUCGCAAGAUUAAAACUCAAAGGAAUGACGGAAUCGUCGACCGCAGNAACNNNCC